UCUUAAUUAGCUUAGAAGUCUUGAUAGAAAGAAUAAGUUCUUGGCUGGGGCUACACCGCAAGAAAGGUUUUCUUGGGCGGUAGGAAGUGAGUCAAACCAAGGGAUAAGGUUCUUUAAUUUUCAAGAAAGUGUCUAAGUGUUGUAAUUGAAAGAAUUAUUUGUAAAACGUUAUUUCGAUUAUAGUGAAGAAAAAUCUUCCAGAUCAAACGGGGGGCCUGGAUGUAGUUUGUAAGUGGACCCGCAAACGAACCAGGAUAAAAACCUUUGUGCACG
This 273-nucleotide long non-coding RNA is filed under the name Lupinus angustifolius (narrow-leaved blue lupine). RNAcentral describes it as "long non-coding RNA (LANG_LNC003462)". The record is from RNAcentral. Lineage: Eukaryota; Viridiplantae; Streptophyta; Magnoliopsida; Fabales; Fabaceae.